CUUGUCUCAAAGAUUAAGCCAUGCACGUCUGAGAAUAAAGAGUUUUCUCUGAAUCUGCGAAUGGCUCAUUAUAUCAGUUAUAGUUUAUUUGAUAGUCCUUUACUACUUGGAUAACCGUAGUAAUUCUAGAGCUAAUACAUGCAUCAACUCCCAACUGCUUGUCGGACGGGAUGUAUUUAUUAGAUAAAAAACCAAUGCGGGUUCUGCCCGGUUUUGUGUUGAAUCAUAGUAACUUUUCGAAUCGCAUGGCUUCACGCCGGCGAUAGUUCAUUCAAAUUUCUGCCCUAUCAGCUUUCGACGGUAGUGUAGUGGACUACCGUGGCGUUAACGGGUAACGGAGAAUUAGGGUUCGAUUCCGGAGAGGGAGCC
This 369-nucleotide ribosomal RNA is filed under the name Pseudellipsoidion edaphicum. Its description in RNAcentral is "partial small subunit ribosomal RNA". It matches the Rfam family "Eukaryotic small subunit ribosomal RNA", at positions 31 to 396 of the family's 1831-position model. Lineage: Eukaryota; Eustigmatophyceae; Eustigmatales; Neomonodontaceae. The record is from RNAcentral.